Molecule: long non-coding RNA, 4724 nt
Organism: Balaenoptera musculus (blue whale)
Lineage: Eukaryota; Metazoa; Chordata; Mammalia; Artiodactyla; Balaenopteridae
Exons: 4
Source: RefSeq, a predicted model, not a curated record
GAGGCUGUGGGCUCCCCAAAACUGCCAUGCUGAGGACACUCAAGUGCGUGAGUAUGGAACCACGGAUAGAAUCCCUGGAGCACGGGACACAGGAAAAGCUCUUCUUCCCUCUCAUUUGAUUCAGUGGAACCCAAAAGAGGCUCCCUCCUUGCCCCUCUCCAAGGGGAAUCCAAAAGACAAAGAGGAGGCAGUGGUGAAAACUUGUUGGAGGGAUGGUUGUGAUAAGACGUUUGCAGGGCCAGUCCAGACGGCUUCUGGGAGCAGCUCUAACUCAACAUGUAAAGGCGCCGGGGAGGGAGCAGCAGGGAAGCACAGAAUUCUCAGGAUCCAAUCCGGGUUUCCACUCACUUGUUGUCAUGUCUCCUGCAGUCUGUGACAGCCCCUCCUCGUCGUUCCUUGUCUUUUAAGACCUUGACACUUUUGAAGAGUACUGGUCGGUUAUUUUGUAAAAUAUCCCUCGGUUGGGGUUUUUCUGAUAUUUUCUCAACAUCAGAUUGAGGUGAUGCAUUUUGGCAAGAAAAGCACAGAAGUGUCGUUGUGGUCUUCUCAGUGCAUCAUCUCAGGCAUCCGUGUGUUGAUGUGUCUUAGGGCUGGUGACAUUAACCUUGUUCAUUGGCUAAGGUGGGGUUUGCUAGGUUUCUCCACUGUAAUAUUAUUUUUCUCGCUGAAACUAAUAAAUACUUUGAGGAAGAUACUUUGAGACUAUGCAACUUAUCCUGUUUCUCUUUAAACUUUCACCGACUGGUUUUUGAAUCCAUCAGUGGAGGGAAAGAGCUCUUGAUGGUCACUGGCUCUAGAGCCUCAUUUUUCCAGACUUGAGGGACUGUGGCUUUUAGGAGACAUUGGGGGAGUGGUCCAGGCCCAAGAAAGAACUCUUUCUUCCUCUCUUGUCCAGCCCCAAAGCCAGCCUGGGCCCUCUCAAACCAUCUCUGUACCCUAAGGUAUUCCCAGGCCUCUUCCCUUAAGAGAUACCAAGUGUUUCUCUAACCACUGACGUCUAGAGUCUCUUCUUAGCCCCCGCACCAGCCAUGGGGGAAAGGAAGGGACAGUCAAGGUCCUCCCCAUGUCACAGGUAGGAAGUCUGAGGUCCAGAGAGGUUCACAGUCAAGUAACCAGUUGGAGCCCUCCUUGCGAUUCUCAGACCACCUUCCUCUCCAGGGUCUGCUGGCUGAGCUUCUCAUCUCCUCCUGGCAGAGUCUUAUGUCCCCUGCCCUUCCUUCCUCAUCUCUCCACACUCUCCCCUGCCCAGACCCCUUCACUUUGCCCAUCCCUCUCUCCAAGUCCCAGCCACCUGUGUACAGCAAGGGUUAAGUCUCCUAGAGCUGAGGGCUGUCACUUCUAAGAAUGACAAGCUGGAACCUGAACUGACCUGGACCUGAGUGUCUGUCGCCAGAAAUGCAGGGCUAGCACGGGGGCCAGGAGCAGGCUGGCAGGUAGGAUUGCAGGCCCAGGAGGCAAUCAGGAGUCUGGAACACCCGGGUGCCCUGUCCCCUAGAAAGCUCUACCACCCGCUGGUUUCCCAGGCCAGCCUGCCUGUCUGGGCCAAGCGUCCUGUGAGAACCUGCGCUGACACAACAGAUAGGCUGAUUCAAGUGUUUCCGUGUCCAUGGGCCCGUCUGAGCCUGCCAGCUGCUAGAGCUGAUAGAACAGAGACUGACCAUCCCACGUUUUAGAUGCAGAAGUUUCAGAGGUUGAGGAAAUCCUCAAGCGUCCACAGCAAGGAAGCUUCUCAGCCAGGAUUCAAUCCCAGCUCUACCUGGGCUGUAAGCCUCACUUUUCAAAGACAGGUCCCCUCCCGCCAGAGGGUCCCCAAAAGUCUGAGCCAGAAAGGGCCUCAGGGGUCAUCUAGACAAGUCUCUUAACUUUACAGAUGGGGAAACCGAGGUCCAGAGAGGGGAAAGGUCAUGUUCAAAGUCACACACCAGAACCCGCUUUGAAAGUGCCAAGUGUUUAACAAUUGUUAGCCAGGAAUCUGAGCUAGGCAGGGUGAGAAUGUAUAGGGUGAAAAGAGCUGUGCCUGCACCCCAGAAUCACAUUUGGGUUGUUACGAACAUUAACGGUUGGGUAACCAAAGGCCAGCAACAGAUGGAUUCACUAACCCUCUAUUAGCUCCCUGUUCAAGUAAAAUAAGGCUUAAGUUCUCCAGCCAAUAACCCGUGCUGCCCAGUGCAAACUGAGCUCCACCCCAGCAGCCCAGGUUUCUCACUAACCCCAACAUCCCCACUCAUCUCCCAGCCUCUGCCUGAAUUUCCUCUUCUGUCUCCUCUUUCUGCCCAACUCUCACACUCUUUGAGGCCAAGCCUCAGUUCAACAGACAGAUGUAAUAUAUGAUUUCUGUAGACUGUGUGGCAUAAAGUAGAUGCUCAGUGAAAGACAGACAGAAGAGAAAGAGAGAGGGGCAAGGAAGGGAGGAAGGGAGGAAAGGGAAGAUGGUAAAGAAAUGUGGAAGGAUGGAUGGAUGGAUGGAUGGAUGGAUGGAUGGAUGGAUGGAUUGGCAGGUGAGUGGGCAGAUGGAUGGAUGGAUGGAAGGAUAAUGGAUGGAUAAAUAGAAAAAUGGAAGGUGGAUGGAUGGUGGGUGGGUAGGUGGGUGGGCAGGGGGGUGAAGGAUGGUUGGAACACAGAGAAACGGAUGUCAUCCCACCCAUCCCAAGGUGGGCAAGCAUCCUAGAGGAGUUUUUAACUUCGCUGAACCUUGACGAUGAAUACACGUUAAGCAAGCUAAGGAAGUGAGGAAGGACAUCCCAUUUGCUCAGGGAAGCACCUGAGCAAAGACACAUAGGCGUGAGACGUGGGUCUGUUGGAGAACGCAAGCACUUAAGCAUUGCUGGAGCACGCUGCUGAAGGCUGGAUCUGCCUGAUGGAACUGAGAGCAGAGGCUGGGGGACGAAGGCUGUGCUAAGGAGGUCAGACUUUAUCCUGACAACUCUGGGGGCACUGAAGGGUCCUAAGAAGGGCAAUGACGCUGUCAGGUGCGUUUACAAGGGCUACUCUGGCGUCCCUGUGGAACACACUUUGGGAGAGGGGGAAGCGAAGGGAAAACGCGAAGGAAGAUGCCGCUUGCCCUUAUCCAGAUAAGGGACGGGUUUGGUGGACUUCUCUCGCAGGGAGUCCCACCCCCUCACCUCAGAUCACCUGGAUCUCCCCUUUUUCAGCGCUCCCAGUACUUCUAUGAUCUGUGCACCCCCCCAUUAUAGUUUACUACAGUGCCUUCGGGGGCCAGCCACAAAGUGUCUCUCUCAUGUAGUAGGUGUUCAGGGUGUUAAUUUACUGUAAUUACUCUGGCCUGACAGGGGAGACACAGCCCUUAUGCUUGGGGGCACCCAGUCUAAUGGGGGAGGGCAAAUGAGCCUAGAUCCUUCUCUGCUCCGUAGGCUGAGUGGAGCCCAGAACCGAGGAGCCGCCGGCGGGGGCGCGGGGGCGGGGGUGGGUAGCACACGGAAGCCUUCUUGGAAAGGUUUGACUCAGGUUUGAAAGAAGGAAGAUCCCUGGAUGGGUGGAGUGGGAGCCGGCAUUCCCAGACAGGGGCGUGGCUGUGAGAACUCCAGCGCCAGCAACGUCAGCACCUGGGAAUCACAAGAGCUGUGUCAGGAGCCUUGAGCGACAGGCUCUGGGAGAGGGUACGGGAGACCCCGCAAGAAAGGCAAGGCUUCCCAGCCGGAAGGAAAGGCAGUUCCAGCCUGAAGGGUAGAAAGAAAGGAGCAGUUUCCACCAGUCAAAGGUGGGGGACCAGGUUCAAGGCCGUGCAGCCCACCCCGCCCCCCAGGCUGAGACACGGAGGAGCCUGGGAGGGAGCAGGGCCUCCCAGGUCCGUCACACUUGGGGUUCCAGCCUGGGCUCCCCCACUGACCAGCUGUGUGACUUUGGACAAGUCACUGCAGCCCUCUGAGCCUGUUUCCUAUCAAAUGGGCAAAAUUAUCGUUCCUCCCUCGCAGGAUUAUUGAGAGGAGUAGACAAUUCAUGGCAGGUAGCCAGCACGGUGCUUGGCACAGAGGAAAUUUUUAGCUAAAAACUUAUCUUAAACGAAGCCCUAGAGGUCAAGGGCGGGCAGGGGGUGAGCACAAAUGGAAAACAGGUAUCAAAAUUCAAGCAAAGGCAGAGGCAAAGAACAAAGAGGAGUCCAGGAGAGCGCUGGGGCAUCGGUGUGACAGGAGGAGGGAGACCUCGGGAGAGCUGCUGAGGCCAGCAGGCCUCUGUGAUGAACUGGUGAGUCUGCGAGGGCCUGGCCAGGGCGGAGUCGCUGGGAACUGGUAGGUGCGGAAGCCCUGCCAAGGAAGAGUCAGCAGGACGGCUUGGGUGAGAGGGGAAAAGGCAGGGGCCCACAUCCUGAGGUUGGAGGUCCAGCACUGUCCCCCUGCACCUCCCGCCCCCCACCUCCCCGCCCCCAGCCUGGGAGUGAGGGAGGUGGGGAAGCAGCAGCUCAGGGAUUCCAGUGAGACCCCGAGACCAGGGAAGUCCCACCAGUCACGCGGCAUUACCUGGUUCUCCAAGCAGCCCUGGCUGUCGGUGCAACGGGGGCAACAUCUGUCUUCAGACACACACACAUACCCAUUUCUAUGUCACUCACUUCCAAAUGAGGGGACUGGGCAGUUUAUGAGAAAAGACACAUGUACAGCAGAGCAAAGGAAACCAUAAACAAAAGAAAAAGCACACAGGCUGGGAGAAAACAUUUGCAAACGAUGCAGCUGACAAGGGGUUAAUUUCCAAAGUAUACAGAUAGUUCAUAC